GAUGAACGCUGGCGGCGUGCCUAAUACAUGCAAGUCGAGCGAACAGACGAGGAGCUUGCUCCUCUGACGUUAGCGGCGGACGGGUGAGUAACACGUGGAUAACCUACCUAUAAGACUGGGAUAACUUCGGGAAACCGGAGCUAAUACCGGAUAAUAUAUUGAACCGCAUGGUUCAAUAGUGAAAGACGGUUUUGCUGUCACUUAUAGAUGGAUCCGCGCCGCAUUAGCUAGUUGGUAAGGUAACGGCUUACCAAGGCAACGAUGCGUAGCCGACCUGAGAGGGUGAUCGGCCACACUGGAACUGAGACACGGUCCAGACUCCUACGGGAGGCAGCAGUAGGGAAUCUUCCGCAAAGGGCGAAAGCCUGACGGAGCAACGCCGCGUGAGUGAUGAAGGUCUUCGGAUCGUAAAACUCUGUUAUUAGGGAAGAACAAAUGUGUAAGUAACUAUGCACGUCUUGACGGUACCUAAUCAGAAAGCCCCGGCUAACUACGUG
This 497-nucleotide ribosomal RNA is filed under the name uncultured bacterium. RNAcentral's name for it is "partial 16S ribosomal RNA". It matches the Rfam family "Bacterial small subunit ribosomal RNA", at positions 28 to 507 of the family's 1533-position model. The record is from RNAcentral.